GCACCAAGCUGCGAUGUUUGGAUUCGAUAGGAGGGGGGGAGAUGGGUUUUUCAGGCUCUGGUGGUUUGGCUGCUUCUUCCUCCAACUGUUGCUGCUUCUUCUUCAGCUUGGAGAUCUGCUGCUCCACCAUGGUGAUCUCGCGGUCCACGCGGUCCAUGUUCUGGAUGAGCUCCUCCUUGGACAGCCGGGCUGGCAGCAGGUCCAGCUCGGCCUCUGGGUGCGCGGGGCUGACGGGAGACACGGGCUCCAGCUUGCCAGGCAGGCCACGGUCCUUGGGCAGCUCCUCGCUGCCCGCCUGCUGGCCCUGGCUCAGGAGGGGCGAGUGCCGCAGCAGCGGGUCCUGCAGCAGGUCCAGGCGCGGCCGCUUCGUUUCGAUGAACUCCAAAUCUGAUGGCUUGGUCAGGUCAGAGAGAUAGGAAUGCGCCUCGGUCCUCAGGUGCAGCUCCUGAGAUCUUUCAUUGCCCGGCUGGAACUCGGACAGCAGGGACGGCCUCCUCCGCUGCGGCUGC
RNAcentral lists this long non-coding RNA (509 nucleotides) under Gallus gallus (chicken). Lineage: Eukaryota; Metazoa; Chordata; Aves; Galliformes; Phasianidae. The record is from RNAcentral.